GACGAACGCUGGCGGCGUGCCUAAUACAUGCAAGUCGAACGCAUUUUCUUUCACCGUAGUUUGCUACACUGAAAGAAAAUGAGUGGCGAAAGGGGGAGUAACACGUGGGUAACCUGCCCAUCAGCGUGGGAUAACACUUGGAAAAAGCUGCUAAUACCGCAUAAUUCCAUUUACCGCAUGGUAAAUGGAUGAAAGGCGCUCUUGCGUCCCUGUUGGAUGGACUCGCGGUGCAUUAGCUAGUUCGUGGGGUAACGGCCUACCAAGGCUGAGAGUCAUAACCGACCUGAGAAGGGGAACGGCCACACUGGGACUGAGACACGGCCCAGACUCCUACGGGAGGCAGCAGUAGGGAAUCUUCGGCAAUGGGCGCAAGUCUGACCGAGCAACGCCGCGUGAGUGAAGAAGGUUUUCGGAUCGUAAAACUCUGUUGUUAGAGAAGGACAAGGAUGAGAGUGAAAAGUUCAUCCCUUGACGUUAUCUAACCAGAAAGCCACGGCUAACUACGUG
This 507-nucleotide ribosomal RNA is filed under the name uncultured bacterium. RNAcentral describes it as "partial 16S ribosomal RNA". It matches the Rfam family "Bacterial small subunit ribosomal RNA", at positions 28 to 507 of the family's 1533-position model. The record is from RNAcentral.